CUAGAUUAGCAGGCUCUUACCCUACAACCUUUUAGUUAACAGCUAAACGCUCUAUACUACGAGCUUUAAUCUA
This 73-nucleotide transfer RNA is filed under the name Salamandra salamandra fastuosa (Pyrenean fire salamander). RNAcentral's name for it is "tRNA-Asp". The record is from RNAcentral. Lineage: Eukaryota; Metazoa; Chordata; Amphibia; Caudata; Salamandridae.